This is a long non-coding RNA of Mus musculus (house mouse), 1776 nucleotides long. RefSeq annotates it as predicted gene, 45916. The transcript has 2 exons. NCBI's taxonomy places the organism in Eukaryota, Metazoa, Chordata, Mammalia, Rodentia, Muridae. The record is from RefSeq and is marked validated.
UAUUGCCGGCGAACGGGCCCUUCCCAGGCAGGAAGCACGUCGCUGUCCCCAGCUGCGCCCCAAGUCCGUCCCUCGCGCGGAUCCGCCUCCGCUGGUGGCGGUGGCGGGCAACACCUGUGGCCGCCCCUGGGAGGAGAGCGAAAUUGGCAGCUUGGCCUGCGGGGCGUCGGAAACUCAGAUGAAUGAAGAAAGGCUUCAACAACAGUUACAGAUCGAAUAACAACAACAACAACAACAACAAAAAACCACUGGAAAUGUUCCAACAAUCCAAUGAAAUAUAAUUCUGAUCAAAGAAGAUCCUCAAGUAUUCUUAGCUGAUAUAUGUAAAAGCUGAGGCGAUUUGUCGUCUGUUAUCCCCCUCCCCUUUAAAUAGCACAACAUUGCCUUUAACAACACCUGAAGAAUCGUUACAACUUGGGCUGUGGAAAACUUACAUUAUGAGACCAGAAAAGCUCUCUGAAGCAUUUAAAGAGCCACAGAACAGAGGUAAAAAUAUGUGGUGUAUACCUCCAAUCACCUUUUAUUUAUUUUGAUUAUUAGAUUAUAUUUUUACAUUUAAAUAUUUUUGUGUGUGUCUGUGUGCAGGCACAUGCAUGUCAUAGCAUGUGUGGAGGUCAGAGGACAACUCACAGAAGUUGACCUACCGUGUGGGUCCUAGGAAUUGAACUCAGAUUGUCAGACUUGGUGGCAGGCAACUUCACCUACUGAGCCAUCUCGCUGGCCCUUUCUUUUGAUCGUUUUAAUCAUCCUAGAAUAACUUAAUAAUAAAUAGUGGUUUAAGUUAAAGACACAACAGUCAUUUAUUUCUUGCAUUAUGAAAAAUAGGAAACAUGAAUGCAAUUUAUCAUUUCUAUUGAAAUACUUGUGGUGAUGGCUGGCCACGAAAAAAAUAGCAAUAAUCUUCAUGUUUAUGAAGUUCAAGUUGUUAUAUGUGUUUAAAUUUUUUGCAUAUUAAUCAAAUGCUUGGCUUUAAAGCAUAGCUUCCUUUUCAUGUGGUAUUCGGAAAACCCAGAAGCCAUGAUUCGUCAAUGUAAACGUUAGUAAUCAUUUUCAAAUCGUUUAAAAAUAAUUCACCUGUAGUUCUGAAAAUCAGCAACAUCUUUAAUGGUUCAAGAUUGUGGGGUUUUUUUUGUUUUUUGGGUUUUUUUUUUUUUUUGUCGUUUUGGAAUGGCCAAUUAAUUUCUGUGACUUGGGCUGGAUGUCACUUUAUAAUAUAGUAGUUUAUCACAGGAACGGAGUGCUUGUAACAGCAGUCUGUCAGUUCGUGGCAUUGCUUUUGUGCUGGGGUGCCUCCACCCCCCCAGGUCCUUCCGCUUAUCUUUGUAUUGCUACGGAACAGGGCUGGAUUCCUGUAUGGAAAAGGUUUGGUUGUUUUGGUUUUGGCUUAAAGAACAAGCAAAAGGGACUGGAGGGGAAGAGACAGCUGCUGGCCCUGCUGUCAGACAGGCAUUCCCUUCAUGCAAGUUUGAAGGUGGGGGUCUAGUGGUUAGCGCCUACCCCUCCCUGUAUCCCCAGGGGCUCCGCUCCCAGGCGACAUAGAAGCCACGACGUGAAAAUGUGUCACACGGGAUCCAUUUUCAUAUGAGCCCUGUGUUCACAUUUCCCAAGAUCCAUUUCCAGAAAGUCUUCGGGUAUGUCCUGUAACGCCUUCCCACGCUGCCGGUCUGUCUGGUUCUCACCUGAAUGAGAAUUCUGGCACAGGCCCUUUUUACAGGGUCUUACCAGGGCGAGGCACACGGCAGCCAGGCACAUGCCGGCUGCGCAGGAGUAGAAGGC